UGAGGGAUAUUGGGCAAUGGGGGCAACCCUGACCCAGCGACGCCGCGUGAGGGAAGACGGUCUUCGGAUUGUAAACCUCUGUCUUUGGGGACGAAAAAGGACGGUACCCAAGGAGGAAGCUCCGGCUAACUACGUGCCAGCAGCCGCGGUAAUACGUAGGGAGCGAGCGUUGUCCGGAAUUACUGGGUGUAAAGGGAGCGUAGGCGGGAAAACAAGUUGGAUGUGAAAACUGUGGGCUUAACCUGCAGACUGCAUUCAAAACUGUUUUCUUGAGUGAAGUAGAGGCAAGCGGAAUUCCUAGUGUAGCGGUGAAAUGCGUAGAUAUUAGGAGGAACACCAGUGGCGAAGGCGGCUUGCUGGGCUUUUACUGACGCUGAGGCUCGAAAGUGUGGGGAGCAAACAGGAUUAGAUACCCUGGUAGU
RNAcentral lists this ribosomal RNA (422 nucleotides) under uncultured Anaerotruncus sp. RNAcentral describes it as "bacterial SSU rRNA". It matches the Rfam family "Bacterial small subunit ribosomal RNA", at positions 355 to 794 of the family's 1533-position model. Lineage: Bacteria; Bacillati; Bacillota; Clostridia; Eubacteriales; Oscillospiraceae. The record is from RNAcentral.